Molecule: transfer RNA, 75 nt
Filed under: Bacillus cereus
Lineage: Bacteria; Bacillati; Bacillota; Bacilli; Caryophanales; Bacillaceae
Description: tRNA-Glu
Rfam family: tRNA
About the family: Transfer RNA (tRNA) molecules are approximately 80 nucleotides in length. Their secondary structure includes four short double-helical elements and three loops (D, anti-codon, and T loops).
Source: RNAcentral
GGCGUGUUGGUCAAGUGGUCAAGACACAGCCCUUUCAAGGUUGAAUCAGGGGUUCAAUUCUCCUACACGCCACCA